GACGAACGCUGGCGGCGUGCUUAACACAUGCAAGUCGAACGGAAAGGCCCCUUUGGGGGUACUCGAGUGGCGAACGGGUGAGUAACACGUGAGUAACCUGCCCUUGACUUCGGGAUAACUUCAGGAAACUGGGGCUAAUACCGGAUAGGAAUCCUUGCUGCAUGGUGGGGGUUGGAAAGCUUCGGCGGUUUUGGAUGGACUCGCGGCUUAUCAGCUUGUUGGUGGGGUAGUGGCUUACCAAGGCUUUGACGGGUAGCCGGCCUGAGAGGGCGACCGGCCACAUUGGGACUGAGAUACGGACCAGACUCCUACGGGAGGCAGCAGUGGGGAAUAUUGCACAAUGGGCGGAAGCCUGAUGCAGCAACGCCGCGUGCGGGAUGACGGCCUUCGGGUUGUAAACCGCUUUCAGCAGGGGCGAAGCUUGUGGUGACGGUACCUGCAGAAGAAGCACCGGCUAACUACGUG
Molecule: ribosomal RNA, 465 nt
Filed under: uncultured bacterium
Lineage: Bacteria
Description: partial 16S ribosomal RNA
Rfam family: Bacterial small subunit ribosomal RNA
Source: RNAcentral